CACGUAGGGUGCAAGCGUUGUCCGGAAUUAUUGGGCGUAAAGGGCUCGUAGGCGGUCCGUCACGUCGGGAGUGAAAACUCGGGGCUCAACCCCGAGCCUGCUUUCGAUACGGGCGGACUAGAGGUAGGUAGGGGAGAACGGAAUUCCUGGUGUAGCGGUGGAAUGCGCAGAUAUCAGGAGGAACACCGGUGGCGAAGGCGGUUCUCUGGGCCUGUACUGACGCUGAGGUGCGAAAGCGUGGGGAGCAAACAGG
Molecule: ribosomal RNA, 253 nt
Filed under: uncultured bacterium
Lineage: Bacteria
Description: partial 16S ribosomal RNA
Rfam family: Bacterial small subunit ribosomal RNA
Source: RNAcentral